UACGGAGGGUGCAAGCGUUGUUCGGAAUUACUGGGCGUAAAGGGCGCGUAGGCGGCCUGAUAAGUCAGAUGUGAAAGUCCACGGCUCAACCGUGGAAGUGCAUUUGAAACUGUCAGGCUUGAGUAUCGGAGGGGAGUGUGGAAUUCCCGGUGUAGAGGUGUAAUUCGUAGAGAUCGGGAGGAACACCGGUGGCGAAGGCGACACUCUGGACGCAUACUGACGCUGAGGCGCGAAAGCGUGGGGAGCAAACAGG
Molecule: unclassified non-coding RNA, 253 nt
Filed under: uncultured Desulfobulbaceae bacterium
Lineage: Bacteria; Pseudomonadati; Thermodesulfobacteriota; Desulfobulbia; Desulfobulbales; Desulfobulbaceae
Description: contains 16S-23S intergenic spacer region
Rfam family: Bacterial small subunit ribosomal RNA
Source: RNAcentral